AUCUAAUCUUAUUUGGUAUAAUCUUAUUUGAUCUUGCUGGCUUUAGAUGGAGCCUCUCACCCUCUUGAUAAAUGCUGUCAAGUUUCUGAUUUAGUUCAUGUAUAUGACUUGCAAUUAUGUAGUCAAUGCCAAAAUCUCUGCAGCACUUGAAAAUUGAUGAAGGAUUGCAUUCCUAUACAGAAAGGAAAAGAUUUAAUUCCGGACCGGAACUGCCAAAUUAAUAUGAAAUGUGCGGAUGAAUUCAAGAAAUGUAGCUCUAAAAAAUUUACUCAUUUAGCCGUAAAUCAGCAACACACACUAUUUGUGAAACACAAAGCAAAGGUACAAACGAUUCUCAUAGUUCGUAUGCCACUGGCUUGUAGUUAUAUAGAUAAUAAGGCUUGCUAACUUGCUUGUGUAUUGACAAUAGGUGGCAACAGUGGCAAAGUGAUAUUAGUCUAGGAUUAAUCAAAUAUUGUCUUCGCAUACGGCAUCAUGCUUCUUAUUUACUUGUCUGCAGUAAAGCCAAAUACUCCCUCCAAGAAGGCGUAUUUUGUUUUGGCUUGGUCUUCAUAGAAUGGAUCACUUACUACUCAAAGAACCAAUAUAUGUGAUUUUUUAAAAAAUAUAAAUCUUGUUGUAUAAUUGUUUUACAGUAAACAUACUUAUAAUUUGACGAAGUGUUGAUCAAAGUAUGCGGUAUUUAAAUUUAUAGAACAAAAUAUGCCUGUAUUUUCAAAUGGAGGGGGUAUCAGUUGGAUUGUGGCUUAUGGUGCUUGGUAUAUCUCAAUCAAUCAUUCUUCCUACAGGAAGAUGUUGCUAUCCAAUACAUGUAUAAUAAAAGAAGUAUUCCUCUACUCGGUACACAAAUAAUGCUUUGCACAUGCUCUAAUCUCACAAGCAUGUUAAUGAUCUGAUGAAGCAGUGCUCUACUUUGUUGGCUCAGCCUGCUCGAGGUGAGGUCCCUGACCUCCUCCCCGGCACACUCACACACUCACAGCUAGAGGUAGAAGAAGGGGAAGCAGUAGUGAACACACACCGGUGGAUGCUGCUUUUCUUUUUUUCUCUUUUUAAUUAUUUUUCUUUUAAAAACUGAGCUGCAGCUGCUUUCCUUAUAUGCCCAUACUAAGUCAAAUAGAAGUACAAGCUGCUACUGUUUUCUCCAACUUGCUGUCGCCGGAUAUUGGCAUGGCAUGAUCAAACAAAAAGGAAUAAGAGCAGGAGAAUUACCAACAUACUUUGCAUGCUGUAAGUCUUGCAGACAUUCAUAGGCUUGAGAGAAUUUUGAGAAACUACUAGAGAUACAGCCUGUUAAAACCUUAACAAAAAUAAUUCACUAGAUUGUGCUGUCUGCAAAAAGAAAACCAGAGAAUAGGUACAUCUGCUGUUUCAACUUUCCACAAGUUGUAGUGGCCGGUUGGAAAAUUCCCAUAAGGAUUGACAUCUUUUUGAAGAAUAUCCCUUACCUCAACCAUAUCUUUGAGCUGAGGCUCUACACACAUGUGAACAUGUCAGGGGAAAGAAGAUAGCAGUGACCACUUAGGUGAACUCUCAAAGCUCAGGAGAUUCAGUUACAAUGUAUAUAAGCACAAUUAUUUGGAUAAGCAUUGAACUUCAGCAAAAAAUUGUAUCUCAGGACUUCUCAGUGAAUACCGAAAACAAAACUAUAAUGCAAAUAUCCAACCCUGAAGGCUGAAGGUACAAAACGAAAAUCAACGAAGGAUCAAGACAUUUCCUGACCUGUGGUUGUAAUGUUUGGAGCCUUUCCCUUUCAAUCCUACAUCGGUCAAUUAUAUUUUCAGCCUCAUAAAUAAUUUCCCGUGACCUCUUCAGCCAAUCCCUAGUAGUUUCAUUUUGCACAA
Panicum hallii is the source of this 1841-nucleotide long non-coding RNA. RefSeq lists it as uncharacterized. The record is from RefSeq and is a predicted model, not a curated record. The transcript is spliced from 2 exons. NCBI's taxonomy places the organism in Eukaryota, Viridiplantae, Streptophyta, Magnoliopsida, Poales, Poaceae.